AAGUCCCUACGGGGGGCAGCAGUGGGGAAUAUUGGGCAAUGGGCGCAAGCCUGACCCAGCAACGCCGCGUGAAGGAAGAAGGCUUUCGGGUUGUAAACUUCUUUUGUCAGGGACGAAGCAAGUGACGGUACCUGACGAAUAAGCCACGGCUAACUACGUGCCAGCAGCCGCGGUAAUACGUAGGUGGCAAGCGUUAUCCGGAUUUAUUGGGUGUCACGGGCGUGUAGGCGGGAAUGCAAGUCAGAUGUGACACCUAUGCGCUCAACGCAUAG
This 272-nucleotide ribosomal RNA is filed under the name uncultured bacterium. RNAcentral's name for it is "partial 16S ribosomal RNA". It matches the Rfam family "Bacterial small subunit ribosomal RNA", at positions 333 to 619 of the family's 1533-position model. The record is from RNAcentral.